CUGGGUUGUUUUUUUAGAAAAUGUUCUCCACUGAGGCUUUUCUGUUCCCUCCAGUCUCCACACUGGGACCCCAAAGCUUUGGCCAAGCCUCUGCUCCUAACACGUUUUUGUUUUCUUAAAUGGACUGAGAAGCCCUUUCAUAAAGUUCACUUGAGGAAAACACAUUCAUCCCAGGGUCCUAGCAGGAUUUCAGCUCAGCCCCUCACUCACAUCAGCAAUGAACCCAUCUCAUGACAAUGUUCUGGCCUCGAAGAGCCACAUCCACGCACAAAAAAUCCUUUCUGAGAAAAUUUUUGCAUCCAUGGAGCUGCAAGGACUUAGAGCAGUUCUCUCAGCACAGCUCUCCAGGUGAUGGACACCAACCUGAGGCUCUCCCUCAGCUGCCCCUGCCUGCUGCUGAUGUGGUCUUUGGGAAAACAUAGCAUUCAAGACAUCUUCCCAUUUUCAAGUCUGGGCACCUAAGUGUGAACACAAGUAUCUGUUUUUGAAAGUGCCCUGUAGUUUUCCCAACCCUGAAGUGUGGAAAGCAAUGUUUAAAAAAUGGGUAGAAUGUAAAAUGUAAAAUUGUCAGAUUCAUGUUUCAGACCUGGGCUAUUCCACUCUAUUUUUUGAAUGGCAAGUUCUCACUGCUGGAGGAAGGCACAAUAAAGUCCAAAAUAAAGUGCUUUACAGGGUGACUCAUCCUGACCCAACAAACAGGUCCUGGGACUAACCCUGAGCCUGUUGUAUGGACCUGGCCAGACAAUUUGCCCAUCUCCUGUCAGAUUUCCAUCAGAAUUUAGGAAAGGCACAGAAAUGAGCAAGAUGACAACAAGCAGAUGCAGAAACACCUGGAAAAUAAACCCCUGGCUGCAAAACAAUUCGGUGAAGUCACAAAUAAGCCCAGCAGAAUGAGUUGUCUUUCCUGGCUGUCCAGUCACAGCCACCUCCCAGGAAGUAUGAAACAUCAGUAUGGGAUGGAGAUGAGUUUCCCAGAAGUCCAAUUCCAGCUCAGCAUUCUGCUGCAUCCAUGCUGCAUCCCCUGCCCUCCAAGAGCAGGAGGACCAGGGUACCAAGGAGCAGCAGAUGUCACCAGGACAGCAAGCUGGAAGCUCAAGUCUCCAGGUCACACCUGGAAACAUCAGCGCGUUUUCCCGAGGUAACUUCAGACCUCUCCAAAGCACCGGCUGUGCCGAGCUGUCUCUGCAGCUCAGAGCAUCCUUCCACUCAAUGCUGGUUUUCAUAGAAGCAUUAAAAAAAAAAAUAAAUUUCUAUGCGUAAGAGGAUUGGAUUUCCA
Molecule: long non-coding RNA, 1276 nt
Filed under: Cyanistes caeruleus (blue tit)
Lineage: Eukaryota; Metazoa; Chordata; Aves; Passeriformes; Paridae
Description: lncRNA (ENSCCEG00000024113.1)
Source: RNAcentral